RNAcentral lists this unclassified non-coding RNA (254 nucleotides) under uncultured Eurotiales. RNAcentral's name for it is "sequence contains 5.8S rRNA gene, ITS2, 28S rRNA gene". The record is from RNAcentral. Lineage: Eukaryota; Fungi; Ascomycota; Eurotiomycetes; Eurotiales.
AACGCAUAUUGCGCCCCCUGGUAUUCCGGGGGGCAUACCUGUCCGAGCGUCAUAGCUGCCCUCAAGCCCGGCUUGUGUGUUGGGCCGCUGUCCCCCCAAGGGACAGGCCCGAAAGGCAGCGGCGGCACCGGGUCCGGUCCUCGAGCGUAUGGGGCUCUGUCACCCGCUCUGUAGGCCCGGCCGGUCGCUAGCCGACGACUCCAUCCUUUCUCCAGGUUGACCUCGGAUCAGGUAGGGAUACCCGCUGAACUUAA